CAGUGGUUACCUGUCUACUGAGAAGCCUACUGUAGAAUCAUGGUACUGUCGUUCACUAUUACAAUUUGUAAAUCCCAAGUCUCCAACGCAUGAAACAGCAUGUCAAGGAGGAUUUCUCAGGGGACCAGCGACGUUUUUCAUAACAGACAGUUUGGUUUUCACUCCACUAGCUUCUUUUUGGAGUCUCUCCUUUCUUAAAAGAAUGAAAUUUCCCAUAGAUGACUUGGAGGUUUGUACGGUUAAUGUGGGCACGGUGGAGGCCUUGAGGCUAUUGAAGGCUUCUCUCCUCUCCAAAUCGGUAUUGACUGAUUCCUUGAUUAACUUUGGCUUAAAGACUCCCAAGCAAGAAAAGUACAUGUAAUGAUAAGGACAUCAUGAGACUUGAAAUAACCUAGAGUUCAGUGAACUUUGUAAGGGUCUACGUUUGAUUUAAAUAACUUGCUCAUAAAACAUAGACUUGUGUUUGUCAUUGAUGUUCCCCUUAUAGAACUGUAUACUAGUCUAUAGCAUUUUUUAUUUUGUAUUUAAUUUGGUUUUAAGAAUUUUCAAUAUUGUUGAU
Long non-coding RNA from Telopea speciosissima, 559 nucleotides. RefSeq lists it as uncharacterized. The transcript is spliced from 2 exons. NCBI's taxonomy places the organism in Eukaryota, Viridiplantae, Streptophyta, Magnoliopsida, Proteales, Proteaceae. The record is from RefSeq and is a predicted model, not a curated record.